AGAUCAGAAGCGAGAAUGUUGACAUGAGUAGCGACAAACAGGGUGAGAAACCCUGUCGCCGAAAGUCCAAGGGUUCCUGCUUAAAGCUAAUCUGAGCAGGGUAAGCCGGCCCCUAAGGCGAGGCCGAAAGGCGUAGUCGAUGGGAACCAGGUUAAUAUUCCUGGGCCAGUGGGAUGUGACGGAUCGCAGAUGUAGUUUGCCCUUAUCGGAUUGGGUGGGCUGCUGAGCGGUUCCAGGAAAUAGCCCCACAUCAGACCGUACCCUAAACCGACACAGGUGGACUGGUAGAGUAUACCAAGGCGCUUGAGAGAACCACGUUAAAGGAACUCGGCAAAAUGCCUCCGUAAGUUCGCGAGAAGGAGGCCCCAUAUGUACGCAAGUAUGUGUGGGGGGCACAAACUAGGGGGUGGCGACUGUUUACUUAAAACACAGGGCUGUGCGAAGCCGUAAGGCGACGUAUACAGUCUGACGCCUGCCCGGUGCUGGAAGAUUAAGAGGAGGGGUGCAAGCUCUGAAUUGAAGUCCCAGUAAACGGCGGCCGUAACAAUAACGGUCCUAAGGUAGCGAAAUUCCUUGUCGGGUAAGUUCCGACCUGCACGAAUGGCGUAACGAUCUCCCCGCUGUCUCUAACGUGGACUCAGCGAAAUUGAACUGUGUGUCAAGAUGCACACUACCCGCGGUUAGACGGAAAGACCCCAUGAACCUUUACUCCAGCUUUGCACUGGUAUCAGGAUUGUGAUGUGCAGGAUAGGUGGUAGGCAUUGAAGCGGGGACGCCAGUCUUCGUGGAGCCUCCCUUGAGAUACCACCCUUCGCCAUCUUGAUAUCUAACCGCGGCCCGUUAUCCGGGUCCGGGACCCUGCAUGGUGGGGAGUUUGACUGGGGCGGUCGCCUCCCAAACAGUAACGGAGGCGCGCGAUGGUUGGCUCAGACCGGUCGGAAAUCGGUCGUUGAGUGCAAUGGCAGAAGCCAGCCUGACUGCAAGACUGACAAGUCGAGCAGAGACGAAAGUCGGUCAUAGUGAUCCGGUGGUCCCAAGUGGGAGGGCCAUCGCUCAACGGAUAAAAGGUACUCUGGGGAUAACAGGCUGAUGAUGCCCAAGAGUCCAUAUCGACGGCAUCGUUUGGCACCUCGAUGUCGGCUCAUCUCAUCCUGGGGCUGGAGCAGGUCCCAAGGGUAUGGCUGUUCGCCAUUUAAAGAGGUACGUGAGCUGGGUUUAGAACGUCGUGAGACAGUUCGGUCCCUAUCUGCCGUGGGUGCAGGAGACUUGAGAAGAGUUGACCCUAGUACGAGAGGACCGGGUUGAACGAACCACUGGUGGACCAGUUAUCGUGCCAACGGUAGUGCUGGGUAGCUAUGUUCGGACAGGAUAACCGCUGAAGGCAUCUAAGCGGGAAGCCCCCUUCAAAACAAGGUCUCCCUUGAGGGCCGUGGAAGACGACCACGUCGAUAGGCCAGAGGUGUAAGUGCAGCAAUGCAUUCAGCUGACUGGUACUAAUUGCCC
This 1503-nucleotide ribosomal RNA is filed under the name metagenome. RNAcentral's name for it is "bacterial LSU rRNA". It matches the Rfam family "Bacterial large subunit ribosomal RNA", at positions 1279 to 2910 of the family's 2925-position model. The record is from RNAcentral.